Molecule: long non-coding RNA, 330 nt
Organism: Oreochromis aureus
Lineage: Eukaryota; Metazoa; Chordata; Actinopteri; Cichliformes; Cichlidae
Exons: 2
Source: RefSeq, a predicted model, not a curated record
GAAGAGUUGGAGACAAAAGGUGAGGUUGAGGAGAUGGAAGAGGACAAAGAUGAAGGAGUGAGCAGGACGACCCCCGCUGCUUUGUGAUACGGGGCUUGAGGAGCUGUUAAAACGACCGCCUGGAACCAAGAGCCGCCCUGCUUACACAUCAGCGGGCCGCCAGAAUCACCCUGAACAGACGGGAAGCAUCAGUUAUUAUUUUCAUGUGACUCAAAGGAAGAGUUUGAUGCACCUUUGUUACCAGAAAACUUUGGACUAUGAUUACUAUAUUUACCUAAAACUAAACGACCACAUUUUAGAGAGUUAUAAUAAAAAACUGUUUGAGUCGAA